UAGGGAAUCUUCGGCAAUGGGGGGAACCCUGACCGAGCAACGCCGCGUGAGUGAAGAAGGUUUUCGGAUCGUAAAGCUCUGUUGUUAAGGAAGAACGAGUGUGAGAAUGGAAAGUUCAUACUGUGACGGUACUUAACCAGAAAGGGACGGCUAACUACGUGCCAGCAGCCGCGGUAAUACGUAGGUGGCAAGCGUUGUCCGGAUUUAUUGGGCAUAAAGCGAGCGCAGGCGGUCAAUUAAGUCUGAUGUGAAAGCCCCCGGCUCAACCGGGGAGGGUCAUUGGAAACUGGUUGACUUGAGUGCAGAAGAGGAGAGUGGAAUUCCAUGUGUAGCGGUGAAAUGCGUAGAUAUAUGGAGGAACACCAGUGGCGAAGGCGACUCUCUGGUCUGUAACGGACGCUGAGGCUCGAAAGCGUGGGUAGCAAACAGG
RNAcentral lists this ribosomal RNA (430 nucleotides) under Bacteroidota bacterium. RNAcentral describes it as "Bacteroidetes bacterium partial 16S ribosomal RNA". It matches the Rfam family "Bacterial small subunit ribosomal RNA", at positions 355 to 776 of the family's 1533-position model. The record is from RNAcentral. Lineage: Bacteria; Pseudomonadati; Bacteroidota.